This 465-nucleotide ribosomal RNA is filed under the name uncultured microorganism. Its description in RNAcentral is "bacterial SSU rRNA". It matches the Rfam family "Bacterial small subunit ribosomal RNA", at positions 334 to 796 of the family's 1533-position model. The record is from RNAcentral.
UACUCCUACGGGAGGCAGCAGUAAGGAAUAUUGGGCAAUGGUCGAAAGACUGACCCAGCCAUGCCGCGUGCAGGAUGAAGGCCCUAUGGGUUGUAAACUGCUUUUAGCCGGGAAUAAACACCCGUUUUAUAACGGGCCCGAAGGUACCGGCUGAAUAAGCAUCGGCUAACUCCGUGCCAGCAGCCGCGGUAAUACGGAGGAUGCAAGCGUUAUCCGGAUUCACUGGGUUUAAAGGGUGCGCAGGCGGACAUUUAAGUCAGGGGUGAAAUCCUACAGCUUAACUGUAGAACUGCCCUUGAUACUGAAUGCCUAGAGUAAAGCUGAAGUGGGCGGAAUGUGUUGUGUAGCGGUAAAAUGCUUAGAUAUAACACAGAACACCAAUCGCGAAGGCAGCUCACUAAACUUUAACUGACGCUCAUGCACGAAAGCGUGGGGAGCAAACAGGAUUAGAUACCCUGGUAGUCA